RNAcentral lists this ribosomal RNA (560 nucleotides) under Trichoderma harzianum. Its description in RNAcentral is "eukaryotic LSU rRNA". The stretch from base 166 to 319 matches the Rfam family "5.8S ribosomal RNA". The record is from RNAcentral. Lineage: Eukaryota; Fungi; Ascomycota; Sordariomycetes; Hypocreales; Hypocreaceae.
CCAAACUGUUGCCUCGGCGGGAUCUCUGCCCCGGGUGCGUCGCAGCCCCGGACCAAGGCGCCCGCCGGAGGACCAACCAAAACUCUUUUUGUAUACCCCCUCGCGGGUUUUUUUAUAAUCUGAGCCUUCUCGGCGCCUCUCGUAGGCGUUUCGAAAAUGAAUCAAAACUUUCAACAACGGAUCUCUUGGUUCUGGCAUCGAUGAAGAACGCAGCGAAAUGCGAUAAGUAAUGUGAAUUGCAGAAUUCAGUGAAUCAUCGAAUCUUUGAACGCACAUUGCGCCCGCCAGUAUUCUGGCGGGCAUGCCUGUCCGAGCGUCAUUUCAACCCUCGAACCCCUCCGGGGGGUCGGCGUUGGGGAUCGGCCCUGCCUCUUGGCGGUGGCCGUCUCCGAAAUACAGUGGCGGUCUCGCCGCAGCCUCUCCUGCGCAGUAGUUUGCACACUCGCAUCGGGAGCGCGGCGCGUCCACAGCCGUUAAACACCCAACUUCUGAAAUGUUGACCUCGGAUCAGGUAGGAAUACCCGCUGAACUUAAGCAUAUCAAUAAGCGGGAGGAACCAU